Molecule: non-coding RNA, 1518 nt
Organism: Sus scrofa (pig)
Lineage: Eukaryota; Metazoa; Chordata; Mammalia; Artiodactyla; Suidae
Source: RefSeq, a predicted model, not a curated record
CCCGGAGAAGAGCAAGAGGAAAUCGAGUCAUUUCUGGGCAUGCUAAAAUCCCCCACCGCUUUGCGUCAUCCGCCACGGCUGUUUGAGGUGUCUCCUUCCCCUCCUUGGCUUCCAUUCCCAGCUCUCUGCUGGAGGUUCACAAAAGCAUAAUCGUUGGAGGAUUAAGAGUAUCCGCAGCCAGGGAAAAUGUGUUUCUUCCUGAGGUGAGUUGAAUUUGCAGGGGUUGAUGUCUCAUUUUGCUCACCUUGUGGCGUGGCCUCUCCUUUACAGACCAGCCCUGUCCAGAAUUCCUUGCUCCCCACUACAGUUCUUCAUAACCUCCUGCCCCCACUCUUUCUUUCUGGUUUUGUUUGUUCUCUCAGACCAAGAAGCAUGUACCUCACUUUUGUAGAGGUGUAACUCCCCCGGGGAAGUGGUACCUGUGCUUGGUAACAACAGAUCUUGUACUUAGGGUUUUGACCCAAAGAGAGGAGUCCACCUCACUUUUUCAGAGCACAGAGCAUUAUCUUCUGGAAUCUGUUCAAAGCUACUUGAUAGAAAGUAAAGAGCCUUUCUAGAAGGAGAAGCCACAGGAAAUCAAAUGUUCUUAGCACCUCACCUCUGAAGUGCUUAUGCCCCAACACUUGCCUUGUGCCCCAGCAAAGCAACCCUUCUACACUCAGAGCAGAGACAUAAAGUGAUGAGCUUAGGGUUUCUUCCAUUAGCCAUAAAAGUUGGACCUCUAACACAGGAGCCUUGACCUUGGGCCCCGCCUGUGUGCAUCCUUUAAAAGAGGGGGUGUCCUUAGGUGACUAGAUUCCUUGUUGGGGCCCAUGACUAGAUCCUUCCUCACACAUUCUGAACCCUGUUUAAUUCCUUUGGACUCUUGCAUCUCUGGAGGAGACAAGCAUUCUCCUUGCAGUGCGCCCUGUAGGAAGGCUUCCAGUCGGUCCAGCUUUAUAGAUCACAAAUCUGAAAGCAGGUUGAUUGCAAGGCCUUGUCCAAGGAGAGAAUGGACUGACUCAUGGUACCUGGACAGAUUCCAGAGUGAGAUGCAGUGCCCUCUCCAGCUGCUGGCAGAGCACUCCCUCUCCUGCUUGGACAGCUCUGAGUGUGCAAGUGUCCAGCUGGCCGUCUGGAGAUAGCCAGGAUCCACUUGCCACCAGAGCGGUUGGGUUUAUAUCCUGUCUUCUCAUCUGAUGGAGGAAUUCCUUCUCAACUGAUAAACCAUUCUGCCUGGUGUGAGGGAGGUUAACGGGAGAGGUAGUUAUUGGAGUGCCAGGGAGCCCUGUAGAAUUCAAGGACUCUGAGAAAGAGGGAAUCAGUAUCUAAUGGCUUUCCCAGCAUUUCCAGGGGUUUGAGCACUUGUGGGGGUGCAGCAGCAUGAUGGGUGGGUAGGGCCUCCAAAGGCCUUAGUUCUAGGACUACCUCUAUGAUGUACCACCGUGUGACCUGGGCUAAGUUCCUUAACCUUCCUGAGCCCCUUUGCCCUCAUCUGGCAGUGAAGGAUAAAAGCUACUUGGUCUAUCAAACGGGGUU